RNAcentral lists this ribosomal RNA (253 nucleotides) under uncultured bacterium. RNAcentral's name for it is "partial 16S ribosomal RNA". It matches the Rfam family "Bacterial small subunit ribosomal RNA", at positions 524 to 776 of the family's 1533-position model. The record is from RNAcentral.
UACGUAGGCAGCAAGCGUUGUUCGGAGUUACUGGGCGUAAAGGGUGUGUAGGCGGUCCUUUAAGUUUGGUGUGAAAUCUCCCGGCUCAACUGGGAGGGUGCGCCGAAUACUGAGGGACUAGAGUACGGGAGAGGAAAGUGGAAUUCCUGGUGUAGCGGUGAAAUGCGUAGAUAUCAGGAGGAACACCGGUGGUGUAGACGGCUUUCUGGACCGUAACUGACGCUGAGACACGAAAGCGUGGGGAGCAGACAGG